AUAUGAAGGCUUAGAGAUCUUAUUUAAAGUUAUAAAGUUAAGCAGUAGAAAAACUAAAAAUAAUAGUGCUAAUAACACCUGUUGGGGAGGGAAAGGGAGAAAAUAUAAUUAAGCUUCCCAGAGAGCCAACUCCUAGUAGAUCUUCAGACUGAAAUGUCAGCUGGGGCCAGAGUAUGAGAGGCCUACUGGAAAGCCCUAAACCAUUCAGAACAUGGGGCUGAAGAGGACAGAGGUCAGGUCAGAGGAGGCGGGCCAAGGUUGAAAAAUGGUUCUACAGGGAACAGGAGUGGAAAAUGGAUUAAGGCAAGGGAGCCUCUCUCUAUGGGCACCACCACCAACAACCCAUGGAGGGGUUCUGCCAGGCCACUAGCAAUGUUCACUUAAAGCCCAACCUCUUCAGUCAGCUUGUGGUGCAUAGACUGGCGGCUGCCAGGGGAUAAGGAAGCAGUGGCAUUGGAAUUCAAGACUGUCUCUCUGACCUUCCUGAAUGACUCAGCAAUAUGAAGUUAAAAUCAGGUUCUUCUUUGGAAUUGGUGGCUGGCUGCUUGCUUAUGAGUGUAGACAUGUGACCCAAACACUCCUCCAUCACUGCUCUGUGGCCUCAGCUGUGAAGCUUUUCUGGAUAAGGGUCAAGGAUAUCCUCAUGACUAAAUGCCUUCCUCUUUUACUUUUGCCUUUUUACAUCUGUCUCCUCAUCGCCUGUUCACUCACUGAGACACCCGUAAGUGCCACUACAGAGAGGAGGAGAGAGCUGUGUGUGUGGAGGGUGUCUCCACACUGCCUGUGUGCAGUGUGUGCUGCAGAUGUACAGGAUUCGCUGAUCCCCAGAAGAGGACUGAAGAGAGACCAGAGCUGGGAGUAAUGUAGCCAAAAAGGAGUCAUAUCCCUGCAUCUCAGUCUUACCACCAGGGGCAUGAGAGCUGCUUGGAAAGAAAUUAGAACACUUCCCUGCUUCCCGAUGGGCAUCAGGGGCAAGGAUCCCAGCUUUUGCAUAGGACCUCAACAUUCUUUUCUCCCACUGCUGAUUUCCUUUAUACCUCUGCUUCGGCUCAUUUCUGGAAAAGUAAAAGAAAAGACAUUCAAUGCAUAGCCACAGAAGCAUGAAAUGGCAUAUUGUGUUUAGGAGCUAUGUGGACUUGUGAAUUGCUGGAAUAGUAUUGCAGAAAAUGACAUUAAUAGUCAAAAAAAAAAAAAA
This 1195-nucleotide long non-coding RNA is filed under the name Homo sapiens (human). RNAcentral describes it as "HSALNT0109900". The record is from RNAcentral. Lineage: Eukaryota; Metazoa; Chordata; Mammalia; Primates; Hominidae.